This 780-nucleotide long non-coding RNA is filed under the name Nicotiana benthamiana. RNAcentral describes it as "long non-coding RNA (NBEN_LNC041580)". Lineage: Eukaryota; Viridiplantae; Streptophyta; Magnoliopsida; Solanales; Solanaceae. The record is from RNAcentral.
UUAUAUUUUUAUAUAUAGCUUAUGAUGGGACUAAUGCUAUAUAUGUAUUGCAAUUAUGAGCUCUGUUAAUCUGUUAUCUUCUGUAAGUCAAACUCAUUAUCACUGGAACACAUUUAACUUAAUUUUACUCUAUUUUCCCUUAGACACUGUCUUUGCUAGUUGAUGCAAAUCUUGGAAAACUUGGCACCAAAUAGUAAUCGAUGAGUACUUUCAUAGGGAAUCCUUAAAGUGAUUUCUUCAAGGUAAAGAUAUUCUUAGCUUUGAGCUCAACGUGAAGUUGAACUUUAGUUGAGCAGGCGCACGCAGCGCUUAAGCUUGUACCUUUGUCUUGUUCUGUGUUCCUGGACUUAAGAUUGAAACUUGGGACAUCUCAUGGGGUUCUUUAGGUUAUUUGGAUGAUGCUCUAAACUUGGCCUUGCUUGCAUAUAUGUAAUUAUGAUCUCUUGUGCGUGCUGGACUGCUGGUUAGUGGCAUUUUAUUCUUAAGAUAGAGAAUUUCUGCAUUAACUGAUAAUUACUCUCAAGAACUGUUUAGAAAGUAGCAGAAGUUGUCAAAUGCCAAAUGCAUUUCUUGGUUGACCUUAUGAUUAUGAUAAUGGUUGAAUGGGAAAAGCUAUUUGCCGCUCACUCUUCUAUCUUGAAGCUGGAAAAACCUCGGCUAUCGAGGGCAGUUUUGUUUUUAGACUCAAGUAACUCUGCCUAUCUACCUGCAUGUUCUCUUUGAUGUACUAAAUUAACCUAGAGCUUGUGUUGCUUUGACUCUCCACUCUCCAAAAAUGCU